RNAcentral lists this ribosomal RNA (460 nucleotides) under uncultured bacterium. Its description in RNAcentral is "partial 16S ribosomal RNA". It matches the Rfam family "Bacterial small subunit ribosomal RNA", at positions 338 to 795 of the family's 1533-position model. The record is from RNAcentral.
CCUACGGGAGGCAGCAGUGAGGAAUAUUGGUCAAUGGGCGCGAGCCUGAACCAGCCAAGUAGCGUGAAGGAUGAAUGCCCUACGGGUUGUAAACUUCUUUUAUAAAGGAAUAAAGUGAGGCACGUGUGCCUUGUUGUAUGUACUUUAUGAAUAAGGACCGGCGAAAUCCGUGCCAGCAGCCGCGGUAAGACGGGGGGUCCGAGGGUUAUCCGGAUUUAUUGGGUUUAAAGGGAGCGUAGAUGGGUUGUUAAGUCAGUUGGGAAAGUUUGCGGCUCAACCGUAAAAGUGCAAUUGAUACUGGCAGGCUUGAGUACAGUUGAGGUAGGCGGAAUUCGUGGUGUAGCGGUGAAAUGCUUAGAUAUCACGAAGAACUCCGAUUGCGAAGGCAGCUUACUAAACUGCCACUGACAUUGAUGCUCGAAAGUGUGGGUAUCAAACAGGAUUAGAUACCCGUGUAGUC